CCUGCUUGAUGGUGAACACAAAGGAACGCAUCGAGAUCGACCGGUUCGAGGGUGAUGGUGAUUUCGCCCUAUGGAAGGUGAGGAUGCUUGCUCAUUUUGGAGUACUUGGACUUAAAGCUAUUCUCACCGAUGAUAAGCUUUUGAAAGAUGACGUGGAUCCAAAGGAUGAACCUGAGUCUGCCAUGAAGGACACGGGGAAGGGGCUAGCUGGGCUUGUUGCGCCCACACCUGCAAUUGAUCCUGCAAAAUUCGAAAAAUCAGAGAAAGCAAAGGACCUAAUUGUGCUGAAUGUUGGGAACAAAGUCUUAAGGAAAAUCCAACAUUGUGAGACUGCUGCUGCAAUGUGGAGUACACUGAACAAGUUGUACACAGAGACAUCUUUACCCAACAGGAUUUAUCUACAGCUUAGGUUCUACACUUUCAAGAUGGCCGACUCAAAAUCCAUUGAUGAGAAUGUGGAUGAAUUCUUGAAGCUAGUUGCAGACUUAAACAAUUUGCAAGUUGAAGUAUCCGAGGAAGUUCAAGCUAUCCUACUGCUAAGUUCUCUACCUAACAAGUAUGAUCAACUCAAAGAGACUCUCAAGUAUGGGAGAGACACCCUAAGCCUAGCUGAGGUUACAGGGGCUGCAAGGUCAAAAGAAAGAGAAUUGAUCGAGAGUGGUAAAUUUACCAGGUCAGGUGGAGAAGGUCUGAUGGUGACAGACAGGGGAAGAUCAGACCAACGCUCUGGCAAAGGCAAUGGAAAAUCCUAUAGGGGAAGAUCCAAGAGCAGACAGGGGCGUUCCAAAUCGCGUCCCAGAAACAACAAAAACACCAAGGGAUGUUUUGUAUGCGGCAAGGAGGGCCACUGGAAGCGUGAUUGCCCUGAUAAAAAGCCUUACAAAACGCCAGACUCAGCCAAUGUUGUGACAGAGUCCAAGGAACCUUUAAUUCUCACCGCAAGCACCCAAUACUCUAAGGACGAAUGGGUGAUGGACUCUGGCUGCUCGUUCCACAUCACACCAGACAAGAGUUUCCUGUUCGAUCUGGAAGAAUUCAAAGGUGGAAAAGUGUUAAUGGCAAAUAACACACAUAGCAACAUUCAAGGAAUUGGAAAGAUUAAAAUUCUAAAUCCAAAUGGAUCGACUGUGGUUCUAACAGGCGUCAGAUAUAUGCCUGGUAUGAGUAGAAAUUUAAUCUCUUAUGGAAUGUUGGAAACAUCAGGAUGCAGAUAUGAAGGCAAGGAUCUCAUGGUUAAUUUCUAUAAGGAUGAUCAACCGGUUAUCUCAGGGAAAUAUCAUCAGGGACUCUAUUAUCUACAGGGGACAGUCUCUCGAGGAGAGGCUAAUCUAUCUAAAGUUGAGAGGAAUAUGACUAAUGUUUGGCAUUCACGCCUCGGUCAUAUGAAUCUUAAUAACAUGUCUGAACUUGUCAAACGGGGAUUUAUCAUUGACAAGGAAGUUAAGACAUUGGAUUUCUGUGAACACUGCAUAAUUGGAAAAUCUCACAAGCAAAGUUUUCCUAAGGCUAAACAUGUGACUAAAGGGAUUCUAGAGUACAUUCACUCUGACCUUUGGGGUUCUCCAUCUACACCAGAUAGCCUUGCUGGAAACAAAUAUUUCGUGACAUUUAUUGAUGAUUUCUCUAAGAAGGUUUGGAUUUAUUUUCUUAAGACUAAGGAUGAGGUAUUCUCUAAGUUCAGAGAAUGGAAAGCUGAGGUGGAGACAAAGACAGAGAAGAAAAUCAAAUGCCUAAGGACAGAUAAUGGGUUGGAGUUCUGUAAUAAGCAGUUUGAUAAUUACUGCAAACAGGUGGGAAUUAAACGCCACAGAACCUGCAGCUAUACCCCGCAGCAGAAUGGGGUCUCAGAAAGGAUGAACAGAACCAUCAUGGAUAAAGUGAGAUGCAUGUUAGCCGAAUCUGGCCUAGACCAAAGCUUCUGGGCAGAAGCUGCAUCUACUGCUAUCCAUCUGAUUAACAGGUCACCUAACUCUACACUAGAAUUCAAAAUGCCCGAAGAAGUUUGGACAGGUGCUAAGCCCGAUCUGGGACAUCUCAGAACAUUCGGAUGCACUGCUUAUGUGCAUAUAACAGAGGAGAAAACGGGACCAAGAGCCAUAAAGGGAGUCUUCGUGGGAUAUCCUAUGGGCACUAAAGGCUACAGGGUCUGGAUAGAGGAGGAAGGCAGAUGCAGAACAAGCAGAAACGUUGUCUUCAACGAGGAUGAGCUGUACAAACACACUGUUGCUAAAGGAAAAGAAAGCACAGAAGUGACUAAGAAAGGAAAACGAGCUAAGAAGAAGGUUUCAUUCAGUGAUGAUUUGAUCAGAGGACCUUCUCCUUCUGUCGAAUCCAAAGACACAUCUGAUCAAGGUGGAGAAGAAUCAUCAUCAUCUAGCUCUAACAGCUCAGGUAACCAAGGACAAGAUCACGAAGCUGAUAGUGAAAGUGAUCACGAAGUUGAGAGUGAGAGUGGUGCCAUUGAAUCUCUAGACACCUAUGUUCUGGCACGAGAUAGGGAAAGGAGACAGAACGUGAGACCACCAUCCCGAUAUGAAGAUGGGAAUUUUGUAGCUUACGCUCUCAAUGUGAUUGAGGACUUGGAAGUUCAGGAGCCAAAAAGCUACGCAGAAGCUAUGAGAAGCCGAGAAAAGAAACUAUGGAAGCAGGCAGCAGAAGAAGAAAUGGAAUCUCAUAGAAAGAACAGAACCUGGGAUCUCAUUGACAGGCCUACAAAGGCAAAGCUUGUUGGAUGCAGAUGGCUAUUCAAGCUAAAGCCAGGAAUCCCAGGUGUUGAGGAUGAACGAUACAAAGGCAGACUAGUUGCUAAAGGAUAUUCUCAGACAGAAGGGAUUGACUACAAUGAAAUAUUUUCACCUGUUGUGAAACAUGUCUCUAUCAGACUUAUGCUUAGCAUUGUGGUGAAUUUGAAUCUGGAACUAGAACAGAUGGAUGUUAAAACUGCUUUCUUACAUGGAAGCCUAGAGGAAAGAAUCCUUAUGGAACAGCCAGAGGGGUUCAUAAAGCCAGGGACAGAGAACAAAGUAUGCCUGUUAAGGAAGUCUCUGUAUGGCUUGAAGCAAUCCCCAAGAAGAUGGAACCAUCGGUUCAACAACUUCAUGAGGGAUCAGCUAUUUGAACGUUGCAGUAAGGACCUAUGUGUCUACAUGAGGGAUGUUCAAACUAAUAAGGCGAUCUAUCUACUCCUAUAUGUCGACGACAUGUUGAUUGCCUCAGGAAAUAAAAAGGUGAUCAAAGAGCUGAAGGAAAAGCUGAGUGGAGAAUUUGAGAUGAAGGACAUGGGAAAGGCCUCAAGAAUCUUGGGCAUGGAUAUCACCAGAGAUCGAGAGAAGGGAACCCUGAUCCUAUCUCAGAGCAAAUACAUUGAGAAAGUCCUAAGGACGUUUGAAAUGCAGGACGCUAAGGCUGUGAUUACUCCUACUGCAUCACACUUCAAACUAAGAAGUCUCACAGAUGACGAGUUGAAAGUGGAGGCUUCUCAGAUGGAAAGAGUUCCCUAUGCCAGCGCCGUGGGGAGCCUAAUGUACGCCAUGGUAGGCUCCAGACCUGACUUAGGUUUUGCAGUAGGCUACGUCUGCAGAUUCAUGAGUAAACCAGGAAGGGAACACUGGAAAGCAGUUCAGUGGGUCCUAAGGUACUUAAAGGGGGCAGUGAAUUCGAAUUUAACAUUCAGAAAGAACUCUACACUCCUAGUGGAAGGAUACUCAGACUCAGAUUAUGCAACAGACAUGGAUAGAAGGCGUUCAGUAACUGGAUAUGCAUUCAAAUUUGGAGGUAAUACUAUCUCAUGGAAGUCAUGUCUACAAUCAGUGGUUGCCUUAUCUACUACAGAAGCAGAGUACAUGGCUAUGAAUGAAGCAGCAAAAGAAGCAAUGUGGCUAAAAGAAAUAUGCAAUGAACUAGGUUUCAAGCAACAGGGGAUCAAACUCUACUGCGACUCUCAAAGUGCCCUAGCUCUAGCAAGAAAUCCAGUCAAUCACGAAAAGACAAAGCAUAUAGCUACCAAGUUCAACUUCAUUCGAGAUCUAGUGGAAUCAGGGGAUAUUGUCCUACACAAGAUUCAUACUAAUGUCAAUCCUGCAGACUUCCUAACAAAGACGGUACCUGGUCAGAAGUUCCAGCUUUGCUGUGAGCUUUUGAAUGUGAACUGAGAAGACUGGAGACGCUCCAGGUGAUUAAAGUUGUAUGAUCCCAUCCUCGCAUAACACAAAAAAAAAAAAAAGUCAGUGUGUGCGUAAAUAGGGAAUCAAAGGCAACUGGGAGUGUCACUAAAGAAGAAGGAAUCACCUGGAGGAUGAUUAGAACCAGGUAAGAAGACCUGGUUUAGGUGGAGUAACUUGGGCCACCAGACAUUCCCACAUAAGAGGACACAGACAAUGCUUCAUGAGUUGUCAGAAGCAAGCAUCGGGGUCCGGAAAGGUUUCAACAACCAAUCACCAACACCUACGAGACAGUGAACCUACGUCAAGCCACAAAAUACAGUUGUGAGUAACAAACCCGAGAACGUUACCUGAGCACAAGAGUAUUUGUUGAAAGGCUUACCAGCAGAACAUGAUAAUAUAAUAACAGUUCAGAGAGCUGAAUCACAUGUCCGAUCAAGGAAGGGUUUCAAGACUGAAACUAGGUGAGCUCGUCAUCGAGCUAAAACCGGCUCCUGAAACAGAACAGAAGAGUCAGAUUGACAAGUGAAGAACAUAUUAGAGAAGGGUCGCUGAGAAAGGAGGUUACUUUAUCUACAAAAGGGGUGGAGUGUGAUGAUAGAGCUCAGGUAAGAGCUCACCGACAUGUCAGGGUCUCAAUCGCGUCUAGAGACAGAGCCGCGAGCCAUCUGAGACGACAUGCAAAGGAAAAGAAUCCACGGGUUAGCUCAAGACCUACAAGACUCGUUUAGUAUCCCUAACAGAUGAUACUAAUCGCUCAUGAAAAGGAGAGAUGAGAAGUACCUGGGGAUAUUAGGGAGGAAAGAUGAUGGAGUCACGAUCAGGUGAGCCAUCAUCAGAGAAGUAAGUCGCCGCUCGGUGAAGAGACUUCGAGGGAAAAAUGGAGAGGAGAAGAUGCGACGCUAUCGAGGUGGAGGUGGCGAGAUCUUCUUCAAUCCGAGCGACGUUUGCGAGGUGGAGCAAACGGAGAUCUCUCCCAAGAUAAGACCGAGUCCAUUUCAGUGGAGAAGGUUCGCGAGAGAGAGGAAAGAGAGGAGAGAGAGUCAUACUGACUCGUCUUCCUUCGAUCAAGACAAAGAGACAAGGAGAGCUGGGCUGUCGGCAACCAGGAUUGCACGAUGGGCUAUUAUUGGGCUCGACUCAAGCUGGUGGAGAUUUGUGAAGCUUGGGCCUCACCAGAAGUAAAAUGGGCCAGCGACAACACCAUAUCCUCCAUGGGCUGAGUUCACAGCAGGCCCACUCCAGCUCA
This 5409-nucleotide long non-coding RNA is filed under the name Brassica napus (rape). Its description in RNAcentral is "long non-coding RNA (BNAP_LNC024582)". The record is from RNAcentral. Lineage: Eukaryota; Viridiplantae; Streptophyta; Magnoliopsida; Brassicales; Brassicaceae.